AGCGAACGCUGGCGGCAGGCUUAACACAUGCAAGUCGAGCGGGCAUCUUCGGAUGUCAGCGGCAGACGGGUGAGUAACACGUGGUAACGUACCCUUCGGUUCGGAACAACUCUGGGAAACUGGAGCUAAUACCGGAUACGCCCUUAUGGGGAAAGGUUUACUGCCGCAGGAUCGGCCCGCGUCUGAUUAGCUAGUUGGUAGGGUAACGGCCUACCAAGGCGACGAACAGUAGCUGGUCUGAGAGGAUGAUCAGCCACACUGGGACUGAGACACGGCACAGAAUCCUACGGGAGGCAGCAGUGGGGAAUAUUGGACAAUGGGCGCAAGCAUGAUCCAGCCAUGCCGCGUGAGUGAUGAAGGCCUUAGGGUUGUAAAGCUCUUUUGUCCGGGACGAUAAUGACGGUACCGGAAGAAUAAGCCCCGGCUAACUUCGUG
This 435-nucleotide ribosomal RNA is filed under the name uncultured bacterium. Its description in RNAcentral is "partial 16S ribosomal RNA". It matches the Rfam family "Bacterial small subunit ribosomal RNA", at positions 29 to 507 of the family's 1533-position model. The record is from RNAcentral.